GACGAACGCUGGCGGCGUGCUUAACACAUGCAAGUCGAACGGAAAGGCCUCUUUCGGGGGGUACUCGAGUGGCGAACGGGUGAGUAACACGUGAGUAACCUGCCCUUGACUUUGGGAUAACUUCAGGAAACUGGGGCUAAUACCGGAUAGGAGCUCCUGCUGCAUGGUGGGGGUUGGAAAGUUUCGGCGGUUGGGGAUGGACUCGCGGCUUAUCAGCUUGUUGGUGGGGUAGUGGCUUACCAAGGCUUUGACGGGUAGCCGGCCUGAGAGGGUGACCGGCCACAUUGGGACUGAGAGACGGCCCAGACUCCUACGGGAGGCAGCAGUGGGGAAUAUUGCACAAUGGGUGGAAGCCUGAUGUAGCAACGCCGUGUGCGGGAUGACGGCCUUCGGGUUGUAAACCGCUUUCGCUCAUGACGAAGCUUUGUGUGACGGUAGUGGGUAAAGAAGCACCGGCUAACUACGUG
RNAcentral lists this ribosomal RNA (467 nucleotides) under uncultured bacterium. Its description in RNAcentral is "partial 16S ribosomal RNA". It matches the Rfam family "Bacterial small subunit ribosomal RNA", at positions 28 to 507 of the family's 1533-position model. The record is from RNAcentral.